CUGUUUAUUAGUGGCCCCAGGUUAUGCCUGUACACCUAGUAUAUAGGAAUCUACUGAACUCACACUUUAAAUUGUAGCUGAAUCUCACGUCACUGUCACUGUGUGUCCAUACAACCCCUUUCUGGCCUCUUCACAGGGCUAAUCAACAGUAUGAAAUGUAACCCCGCCACCCCCGACCCCAACCUGAAAUCAGAGAUGUUGUUGUGUCUUGCAUGUCAGCCUGAGAUUUGCAGUCACCCAUGGAUGGUGUACUGGCAAGGUGCUUAUGUGAGAUUGUGAGAUUUCUUUCUUUCCCUUGUUUGUUGGAAAUGAGAUAUGCCUCACUCACUAUUCCAGGACCUUGGUGGCCUGUAUUUCUUUUUACUUUUUGGACAGUUUCUGAGCACUAACAUCUCCUCUGUUUCGGGCUGUCUCGUGGUCCAUUUCCUAAGGCUCACUUGGUCGCACACCCAGCCUUGGCUCUGCUGGGUGAGGGGUGGGUGGGCUCCUGCUUGGACUGCCCGAGGGAUGGACAGGCAUGGUCCUCCAAAGGUGGAGGUGUUGGGGGCUGGGCACUGCUUUUUUGAAGACUCUUUUUGGCCUCCAAGGCUUGUCAGAACCUCACUGGAGGGGGCGAGAUUUCAAUUUCAGCAUGAACUGGGGUUUUUGGGCCAGGGAAUGAGAUGAGAAAAGAGAAGAAACAAUUCCACAUGGGAAGAACCAGUUAUGAAAGUGGCUGAAAAUGGAACUUUACAGAAACCCAGUGGUAACUGGGUUCUCUAUGUCUUGCUAGGGUAAGUUCUGGAGGGUGGGGUCCAAGUUGCCUUACUCUAAAUCAGGGGUCAGCACACAAGAGCUAGAGAGUAAGUAUUUUAGGUUUUGUGAGCCAGACAAGUCUGUUGUAACCACUCAACCCAAAGCAGCAUAGACUGUGUAAGUGGACGGGUGUUUACCAAUAAAAUGCUAUUUUCAGCAACAGGCACCAGUUAGGAUUUGGCCUGGGAGCUCUAGUUUGCUGUCAUGCUCUGUGAGGAGCAGUGUCAUCACAGAGAUCUUGGGCUCAAGUGGUAUUAGGGCUGAACUCUGUCAAGGAGUAUGACCCUCUGUGAGUCAGGAGGGGAGUAGAGAAUGAAGGGAAAAUGUCUAAGAACAGUAGGACUAAGGGAGGACAGGGAGUAAGGCUCUUUGAGGACCCUAUUCACCAGUAAUGGAUCAAAGAAUGAAAUCUAGGCAUCUUCUGUAAGUAGGCAAUUACCACAGGCAGAAGUCCUUGUAAAUGUAGAGCAAAUACUGACACAAUUGUAAGGUGUUACUGCUAUAGGCAACACCAGUAGGCAGCAGAGGAACCCUGGUAUCUCGGUUGCCUGUUAUUUCCGUGUUUGGAAACUGUGUUUUUGGUCCACCAGGUGUCAGUAUAGUGCAGAGUAUUUUCAAGAACUGGGCUCAAGGAGCCUGUCAGACACCCAGCAAUAGAUAAACCUCUGAGUGUUUUCAGGGAGCAGAUGUUCCCUCAAUAAUGCAUGCUCUAUUUGAAAAACAAGUGAUUUAAUUUAAUUAGCCUUCAUCUCAGUAACAACAGUUUUAUAAUUCAUGCCAACAGACUGUUGUUAGCUUCUUGUAAGAUGGUUUAUUUCUCAGGGUUCUUAAGAGACAGUAGAGUGUCACAAACAAAAAACAAACAAGCACAGAACUCAAACAAAAUGCAAUAUUUGUCCUUAUAAAUCAUAUUGGAAGAAUUAUGCAUCUAUAAAUUAUGAAAAAUCAUGCAUUUAUAAAUUAUGAAACUAAUCUUCAAACCAUAUCUGGUGGCAAAUAGUCCUUCCCCUCUAGGAGUUGCAGUGAAAGCCCUCCCUCCCCACACAGACACACUCUGUCACUGGCUCUGCAGCUCCCCAGAGGCCUUCACACCACAGACUCUAGGCUCUGCCUGGACCACCUACGGAUUCAGUUCCAUCCUGCCUUCUUUGUUAGUACACAGGACAACGAAAGAAGAAAUCAGCACGGGAGGCCUGGAUGGUGCCACCUUGUGAAUUAAAGGUGGAGAAAAGCUCUGGAGAAUGGAAUGUCCAAGAUCAAGGCACCAGCGUGGCUGAGCUCCUGUGAGGGCCUCACUGGUUUAUGGACCACUUCUUGCUUGCUGUAUACCCACACGGUGGAGAGACAGAGAGAAGCUAGCUGUUCUCAUAUGAGAAGUCUCUUCUCAUAAGGACAUUAAUCCCAUCAGGAAGACUCCAACCUCACGACCUCCAAAGGCCCCGCUCCAGAUACCAUCACACUGGGGGUUAGGGUUUCAAUAUAUGAAUUUUGGGAGGACACAAACAUGUGGCCUGUAGCACAGGGUGUGUCAGUAUAACCUCUGGAAGGUGAUUUUGUAACCAGUUACAAACUUUAAUGCAUAUAUCUUUGAACAGCAGUUCUGUUUCAUAGAAUUUAUUCUGAAUAUUACAAAAACAUGAAUGUGAGAGCGGAUAUAUUCAGGACAGCUAUUACAGCAUUAGCAUAGUAAAAACUGGAUUAACUACGUGUCCAGCAAUAACCUGCUAUUCGGUUAUUGUUAAGUUGGGGAUAAUUGUUUGACAUGGAAAGAUGUUAAGUUAAUCAGGCUAUAAAAACAGUGUGUAUAGUAGGAUCCUGUUUUUGUUGAAGUGCUCAUAGGUGUGCACAUGGGCACUGUCCGAAAGGAGAUGCAGCUAAGUCUUAACAGUGGUUAUCUUUGGGUAGUGGGAUUGUAAUUAUAGUAUUUUUCUUGAUUACCUAUACUUUCAAAAACUUGUAGCAUGGAUAGGUAAAGAGAUAAAUUGUGUUGUAAUCUAUAACCAUGAAAACAGAAAACUAACUGCAUUAAAAAAAACCAUGUUUUUCAUCCAUAGACAUGAACUUAGAACUUGGAAUAGAGGCAGGUAUUUUGUGACUUACAAAAAGAUGGAUCUUUUAAAUACCUCAAGUAGUCUGUAGCCAAGUAGUACAUACGUACUCUCCAGAAAGAUACCAGUUCGUAUCUCAUAGCAGUGUGUGAAGGCAUUGAUUUCAUGACCCUCUAUAUUAGAUACUAAAUUUUAAAACUCACUAGUUUCUUGGGCAAAACCUAGUAUAUCAUUGUUUUAAUUUAAAGUUCUUUUAUUAUUAGGGAGAUUGAAUAACUUUCCCUGUGUUUAUUGGCCAUGUGUAUUCAUUACUGGCCAAAUACACCAUAAAGAAAAUCGAGAGAUGAUUAACAAACUAGGAAAAAAUACUGGCAACAUAUAAAACAGGCUGGAGUCUAAUACUGUUAUUGUAUAAUGAGUGUUUAUAAAUCGCUAAGAAAAGAAAUCAACUACCAAAAAGAAAAACAGUUAGUGGAUACCUUUAAGUGAUGGAUCUAACAAUUCAGAUUGUCAGCUGACUGAUCUGAAUUGGGGAAUACAAUUACAAAUUUAAUAAACAUUUAAUCAACAUUCUUAUCCCCACUAUAUAAAUGAAAAAUCCGAGUUCUCAUUGCAGACUAGCUCUGGAAUUGAGCUAUGGAUCCAGGCUUACCUGACCACAAAGGCAUUCUUGCCACUGUGCAAAACCCCUGCUCUGUACUUGGGUACCUUCCUGCCCCUCCCAUGACUUAGGUGACCCCUAGGUGACCCCAGGCUUAGAUGACCUGACCUAGGAGAAAGGGCACAGACCAGGGAAAUGUGGGAGGUUUGGCCAUCCCUUAGAGCCAACUGCUGGAACAUUCCUUGGGAGUGAAGAAAGCUAAUUACAAUUUGCCAAGAUUUGAGUAACCAUGUAAAUAUUAUAAGAUUAUGCUUACCAGUGCCCAGAGCCAGGUAUGAAUUCCAUCACUUAUUGCUCUAUCAGCCUAGAAAAUAAUUCUCGGUUUUAGCAGCACUAACUAGAAUUUUAAAAUUAUAGUUUUGUUUCUUCCUGAAGAAAUUAUUUUGUAAAAACCAGUUGAAGAGAUGGCAAACAUAAAGAGGCACCACUCCAUAGCUCAAGUUUCACCUUGUCUCCACCCUACCUGGAAAAGUAUAGAAGACUCAGUUGCCACACAUUUUAUCUGCCCCAGGUUACUGUCGAAAGCUCUGACCCCUCCAUGUUGAGAUAGCAGGUUAACAGUUGUGGAAACCUUGUAAGCCAGAGAUCCAAAUGCAAGUUCCCGAAGCAGCAAGUGUAUAAACAAUUCUUCAGGCCAUGGAAGUGCAGCUGCUAACUGACUGACUGUUCUCCUUGCAGCUCUUUCGUGGAGAGAGACCUGUGUGUGGACUCCCAGGACUACCAGGCUGACUUCUGCCCUUCUGUCCUGCUAGCUUGUAGAUUUCAUGAGUGCAGUGUUGCCUAGAAUUUGAGAAUAAAUAUUUAAUGAGGAAUAAAUUUGUGACAAAGUCUUUGGGGACCGUAAGAGACUCAUUACUGUGAAUAAUGGACCAAAGGAGGAAAUUAUGUUGAAGAAAAUGUAUUUGACUUGUAUGCUUAAAACUGAGGAAUAAGAGGAUACAAGAGAACCCAAUGUAAGACAUAUUUAAUAGUCAUUUUGCUCAUUGGAGAACCUUUUGGUGAGAAGAGGAAACCUAUUCUCUGACCCCAGGUCCUUACAUCCAUAUCCCUACCUGACAUCUCUGCUUGAAUGUUCCAGAAACUUCUCAAGACUUAGUUGAGGAUUUUCCCAGUCAAACCUCUUCCAGUUUGUUGCAUCUAAGUGCACCACCGUCCAUCACACUCUUUAAACUGGAAACCUGGGAGUUAUUGUUGGUGUCUUCUAUGCUCAUCCCUCAGUGGAAAUCAACACCAAGUCCUACUGAUUUCUCAAAUCGGUCCAUUCUUUCCAUCUCCAUCAUCUCUUGUCUGGGCCACUGCAGUGCCCCCCAGAUCUCCUGCCUGCACAUGCCAAAUGCCAUUCUAGUCUGUUCCCCAUACUGUAGCCAGAGCAGUCUUUUCAAAAUGCGAAUAAAAUCUUGUUACAUCUA
Non-coding RNA from Manis javanica (Malayan pangolin), 4913 nucleotides. The record is from RefSeq and is a predicted model, not a curated record. NCBI's taxonomy places the organism in Eukaryota, Metazoa, Chordata, Mammalia, Pholidota, Manidae.